UCCCUUUCUCGCUGGCCAACGAGGUCAUGGG
RNAcentral lists this non-coding RNA (31 nucleotides) under Homo sapiens (human). The record is from RNAcentral. Lineage: Eukaryota; Metazoa; Chordata; Mammalia; Primates; Hominidae.